This 463-nucleotide ribosomal RNA is filed under the name Veillonella dispar. RNAcentral's name for it is "bacterial SSU rRNA". It matches the Rfam family "Bacterial small subunit ribosomal RNA", at positions 28 to 463 of the family's 1533-position model. The record is from RNAcentral. Lineage: Bacteria; Bacillati; Bacillota; Negativicutes; Veillonellales; Veillonellaceae.
GACGAACGCUGGCGGCGUGCUUAACACAUGCAAGUCGAACGAAGAGCGAUGGAAGCUUGCUUCUAUCAAUCUUAGUGGCGAACGGGUGAGUAACGCGUAAUCAACCUGCCCUUCAGAGGGGGACAACAGUUGGAAACGACUGCUAAUACCGCAUACGAUCUAACCUUGGCAUCGAGGAUGGAUGAAAGGUGGCCUCUAUUUAUAAGCUAUCACUGAAGGAGGGGAUUGCGUCUGAUUAGCUAGUUGGAGGGGUAACGGCCCACCAAGGCGAUGAUCAGUAGCCGGUCUGAGAGGAUGAACGGCCACAUUGGGACUGAGACACGGCCCAGACUCCUACGGGAGGCAGCAGUGGGGAAUCUUCCGCAAUGGACGAAAGUCUGACGGAGCAACGCCGCGUGAGUGAUGACGGCCUUCGGGUUGUAAAGCUCUGUUAAUCGGGACGAAAAGGCCUUCUUGCGAAAUA